This is a long non-coding RNA of Electrophorus electricus (electric eel), 638 nucleotides long. The record is from Ensembl. Lineage: Eukaryota; Metazoa; Chordata; Actinopteri; Gymnotiformes; Gymnotidae.
AUGCCUGAGAAAUCAAAAGAGUUUCAGCUGGAGAUGGUUUUCGCGGAGCUACAGGAACUGGCAUUCCGCAGGGAGCAUCUCACAAACCGGCUCAAUCUGUUGAUUAUGCUAACGGAAUUCCGGCAGAAUGCUGGCCUUCAUGAGGAAGUUGAUGAAAAAGAAGGCAUUGAGGAAGAACUUAAGAAACUUUCAGAAAGGAAGAGACAACUGCAACAAUUGCAAGAAAGACUUGAGUUUAAACAUUUUACAGGUGGUACUUUCACCACCGUUCCGAUAGAUGAGCCUACCACACCUUCAUCUAUGGGUACUGAAAUAUUUUUUGUGGAACCCCCACCCUAUCCAGCUCCUCAGGUGAUUAUGGACGUAUCAAAACUGCCCCCAUGUUCCUCUCCAACAAGAUGCCCCCAUUGUGAACAGUUUGUUACUACAGAGGUGAUCACCAUGACAGGGAGCACAGCCUGGCUAGUGUGCCUUGUAUGUGCUUUCCUUGGGUGAGUUUCAUCACAUGUGAUUACAUGUUAGAGCAGGUAAAACAUAGAGCUGACAACACCAUGGCCCUGGGUUCUGUUCCCAAGGACCACAAAUUCUGUCAUACUGAUAAAUAUAUAAAUGUAUAUAUGUAUGUUACAGUAUUACCA